This 465-nucleotide long non-coding RNA is filed under the name Bos taurus (domestic cattle). RNAcentral's name for it is "long non-coding RNA NONBTAT010736". Lineage: Eukaryota; Metazoa; Chordata; Mammalia; Artiodactyla; Bovidae. The record is from RNAcentral.
GUCUGUUACAUUUAUUGGUUUGUGAGUGUUUUCUGAAAAACUGCAGUGUCUGUGAAGACCAAUUUCCAUGCUGGCAUGCAUCCAAAUAUUAAUGCACAGAGGCACAGAAUUAGAGCAACGAGAGCAUAGUCAAACACUAGCACGCCCCAUCCCCCCUUUAUUGCUUGUUUUGCUUAGUACUUCUUAGAACAAAAAUAAGAAACUCGAAUUCAACGUUCAACUGCCAAAGAAACAAUAACAACAGGGCACAUACUCAGGGCUUGAAUGAAAUUGUAAACACUAGCUGGCGCAAAACAGUAGACAUUGAAAAGCUUUUCUGUACUAAGCAACUGUGCUGCAAGUCUACUGCAGUUAAGUAUCUGAGAUGAUUUCCAUCUAGACUAUCCUUGGUUUUCACCCAGUAAAAUGCAGAGGGUACAAACAGGAAAGCAUGCCAGCCAGUUAAGGGUUCAACAAUGCAUGAUU